UGAAAGCAUGAAGGGGUCAUGCAGAG
This 26-nucleotide non-coding RNA is filed under the name Mus musculus (house mouse). The record is from RNAcentral. Lineage: Eukaryota; Metazoa; Chordata; Mammalia; Rodentia; Muridae.